GAUGAACGCUGGCGGCGUGCUUAACACAUGCAAGUCGAGCGAGUGAGUUCUUCGGAACGAUCUAGCGGCGGAAGGGUGAGUAACACGUGGGCAACCUGCCUCAUACAGGGGAAUAGCCUCCCGAAAGGGAGAUUAAAACCGCAUAACAUCGUUGAAGGGCAUCCUUCGAUGAUCAAAGGAGCAAUCCGCUAUGAAAUGGGCCCGCGGCGAAUUAGCUAGUUGGUGGGUGAACGGCUCACCAAGGCUACGAUGCGUAGCCGACGUGAGAGGGUGAUCGGCCACAUUGGGACUGAGACACGGCCCAGACUCCUACGGGAGGCAGCAGUGAGGAAUAUUGCACAAUGGGGGAAACCCUGAUGCAGCAACGCCGCGUGAGUGAUGACGGCCUUCGGGUUGUAAAGCUCUGUCUUUUGGGACGAUAAUGACGGUACCCAAGGAGGAAGUCACGGCUAACUACGUGCCAGCAGCCGCCGUAA
This 476-nucleotide ribosomal RNA is filed under the name uncultured bacterium. Its description in RNAcentral is "partial 16S ribosomal RNA". It matches the Rfam family "Bacterial small subunit ribosomal RNA", at positions 28 to 523 of the family's 1533-position model. The record is from RNAcentral.